UUGAACCCGGGCCGCACGCAUGCCAGGCAAGCGCGCUAUGGCUUCAGCCACAUCCCCAGCCCCCUCAAACCCUUAAUAUUUCAUCAUUGAUGUCAAAGCUAAUUUAGAUAUAAUAACACAUGGCCCCUAUUACUGUAGUUAAGUAUGGAAUGUUUGUGUAACUAAUUUAGAUAUUUCUAUUGAUAAUGAUGACUUCAGCUGCUACCUUCUUAAAACCAAGUGUUUUACAGCAUUAUAUAAAGAAUGAUUUUAUUACAGGUUCUGGGAAUACACAGCAUGUCCAGAGGCCACACACACACACACACACACACACAGAGCUCAGCAAGACUGUGUGGACCCAGGGUGUCUGCAUUUAUUGGGAAUCCCACAUGGGGAAUUCGAGGAUCCAGGGAGGACAGUGACUAUGAAGUUUAAAGGACAGAGGUGUGAAAACCCUUUCCCAAAGUGAGGUGUUAUCUGGCACCUAGGUUGGGUGAGUGGCUUUGGGAUGAGAAGUAUCUGUUCUCAGAGAAUAGAAACAAAUUUGUUUCCUCAUCUUAUGGCCAAAUGUACCUUGUAUGAUACCCACCACAGGCCUGAACACACCUACCAUUGAUACCUGAUCAAAGUCCUUUUCCCUCAUUUUUGUUUGCCCUGCCUCUACCAGAACCUUGUUAGGCUGGAUUCGCAAGUAUCUGAAUACCCUAGAUAGCUCAUCAAGUCUCUCUUCAUAAUUUCCCAUCCACCGAUCACCUCACAGUGCACAUUGACUAAAUCCCCAACUCUCUGUUUUCAUAGUUGAUUCAGCCUCUGGGAUGUUUUGCAAGGGUCAUGACCUCUACUUACAAUAGUCUGGACUAAAAGCUUCCUUGCCAGUUUGUAACAAGUUCCAGACUAAAUUGUUUCCUUUAAUAGUUCUACAUUACAAAGCAUGAUUUAAAAACCUGUUUUCGGUUUCCAGUAUGACUAAAGGAACAUGAAAGCUUUCAUCUGCCUAUACCUUGUAAGAACGUCUUCAUAAACAGGAUGGGUAGGAGUGGAAGAUCAUAAUGACUUUUACAAAAGCACUAUGUUCCAAAAUUUGUAGGUCAAAAUUGAGUCUCUAUAACGGGUUGGGGUUGUUGCUCAAGUGGUAGAGCGCUCGCCCAGCACACAUGAGGCACUGGGUUCUAUCCUCAGCACCACAUAAAAAUAAAAUAAAGAUAUUGUGUCCGGCUAAAACUAAAAAGUAAAUGUUUUUAAAAAGUUGAAUAUCUGUAAAUCAAGGAGUCAGAAUGCUUACAUACUAUCAUUUUGAUACAAGGGAUCCCUUUGAAAUCCUUUAUGAUUAUUUUUGUGAAAACAGUCCACACA
RNAcentral lists this long non-coding RNA (1332 nucleotides) under Marmota monax (woodchuck). The record is from RNAcentral. Lineage: Eukaryota; Metazoa; Chordata; Mammalia; Rodentia; Sciuridae.